This is a non-coding RNA of Manis javanica (Malayan pangolin), 3984 nucleotides long. Lineage: Eukaryota; Metazoa; Chordata; Mammalia; Pholidota; Manidae. The record is from RefSeq and is a predicted model, not a curated record.
CCAAGGAAAAGCUUGGAUAUCAGGUGGAACAUAUGCAAAGCUGAAGGUGGAGGAAGGCCUCCCAACUCAUAUGAGACUUUAUGUGAGCAUGAGAACAGCCACUGCUCUCUAAAACUGCUGAGACUUCAGGGUUUUGACCUUUGAGUCAGCUGGUAUCUACUACCCCAAGUCCACGGGCUUCUUCUCCUGGGUGAGCUUACCUGAACAGGACACAGUGAGCAAGGUUUGGCAACAGCAGCUGAUGCUUGGAAAAUAUCAGCAGGAAUAGGACACUCACUACUUCAACACUUGUUGCUCAACUCGGAAGCAAAAGGAAUGGAAGAAAAGAGAAAAUCUGUAAAGGGGAGCUUCAAAGAAGAGCUAAUGGACUGGGGGACCUGAAAUCACCUUGGUUAUGCACUUACUUGACAGAUGGCACUUUGAGUCUUGUCUUCCCUUGGAAUUUUCCUCACAAUCUCCAGUCUAUCCCUGAACAUGUUUGAACAGUCACGUAGCAUUUCUACCUUCUAAAAAGCACUUCCAUAUCUUCAAUAUCAUUUUAUAUUUAUAACAACUUAGUGAUGAGAGAAAUUAUCUUAAUUUUACAAAUAAGGAAAUUGAGUGCCCAGCAGGCUAAAUGACUAAUGAUAUGAUAACUAAUAUUAGUGGUAGAACCAUAAAGGAAAAACAAUGAACUGGGGGCUAAGAGACAAGUGUGACAAAUGUGUGCUCAAACUGCUAAUAUCCUGUGGAACAACCCCUUCCCUGACACUGUGCCCCCCGCUAAGCUGGAACUACAUUAUCUCCACGAACUCACAAUCUACUCAUGAAAAUCUUCACUUAAAAGGAAGUGUUUUAGAAGUAGUGAUCUGUGCUUCUCAAGAUGUGGAUUUGAGGGAAACUGGACACUUUGGGUGACUUAGGUGUUGGCACAGUUAGGACAAAGCAGGUUUUCAAAAUUAGUUGGAGGCAAAUAGGCCAAGAAAAUAUGACAACCAGAUCUUGCACAUCUAAAAUACAUUUCUGUUUAAGUAAGAGAAACUUCCUAAAUCAACUCAAAGCAGUACAAGAUGGAAAAAAGGUCUUAUGCCAAAACUCCAGCCACCACAAAGUCUGCUCAGUUCCCUCAAAGUCGACUGAGCAGUGUGACAGUGUGUCUCUUAACUCGUCCCAGUGCUGUGCUCCACCCCACCCAGUCAGGGGUUUCUCUUUCAUAAGCAGAGCUCUGGCACCUUUCAGAAACUCUGCAUUUGGCAGGGAGAAGCCUGGGUGGGGUAGGGGCUCAGUGAGUACUGGGAGAGGGUGUGGACCUGGUGUCUAUGCUCAGGGGCACCGCUGACGUCAAACCCUCACGCUCUCCAGCUCACUGGAGCAAGCACACAGAAAACUCCCUUUUGCAGCUGUGCAAACUGUUCUCAGCGAACUGCAGCAUGCCCACUGCUCCCCAUAGCGUUUCCAAAUCCACAGUUUCAUAUUCAGAGGGAAAUAAGGAACCUAUUUCCCAGUUGGCCCUUUUUCAGUCAUACAAAAUUAAAAUGAAGCUGAAAGUUUAAAUGAAAUGCUCUGGAGUUUCCAUGCUCCUUGCACCUCCGCAUGGUUAGGGCAGCGCUAGCUAACUAAGGCUCUUUUCUCAGUGUUUCCUAAGGAAAAUCUUGGAAAGUUGGCUAUAGGGCUGCAUUUCAGGUCUAAUAUGCAUCUGCUUCAGGCUUCAGACAUGCCUCUUUAUUCUUCCUAGUAGAAUGUGGGACAUUAGGAAUCUACUCUGAAGGUUGGCCCCUGAGAGGGAAGAGGAGAAGAGGGAGUUAUCAGAUUUGCCCCAGGUCUUAUGAGAGCUUGUUGUUCCCACCCGUCAGGCAAUACUCAGACUUCUCAGGACUCUUUCUUCAUCUCCGGGGACUCCAACCCAGGAGAGAAAGAGGCCAUUUUCCUCUGUGGGAAUGCAUGGUGGAAUCUGUACCUUUCAUUGGAAGCCCAAGUGGGAAGAGAGAAAACACCUCUGCAAGUCUCUUUAAACCGUGCUGCUAAAGUGUUUCACAUCAAGAGUGUUGUUAGAGGCCUAGAGGCAGAAGGAAUAUAGUUCUAAAACCCAAGUACCCUGUAAAUCCCAGUGGUUCUUGGGUGUGUACAAGAGUCAUCUGUGAGCUUUCUAGAAAUAUAAUUGCCAUGCUUCAAGUCGAGAUAUCCUAAAUCAGUAGGAAGGGGCACUGCGGGGUCUUAGCAUAAGUGUAGUUUGAAAAAUUCUACAGUGAUUACUCUGCAGGUAUUAUCACGUAUUUGACAGAUUUUUUGGCUGAAGUUGUAUAUCAAAACCACCCUUAAGAGUGGAAUUUUAAAAUCACUGGGUAAAAAGUUCUUUGAAGUAGAAAUCUGCAGUACAAAGUUAAGGAGAUAGCCAAUUUUAGAAGACUGAGAGUAUAAAACUAGGAGGAGUUACAGUAUACAGGAAUAAAUGCUUCAUUUAUAGACAAAGGAGUACAGCUGUUAUUUUCAGAAAAACUACAUAAGCCAGCAGCAAUAGUCAAUAAAUAAAAUUAAUUGUGCUCUAGCCUGCAGAGAUUAUACCCAGCUGGGGAGUGGGGGAGAAUAAGUCUCAUCUCUGAAGGUCAGGUAGAUGGGUGAUAUUAGACCCACACCUAUACUCGAGGAAUAGGGAUAUGUGUGGACAAACAAAACCUGCCUCAGGGAAGGAACAUGGGUAAAUAAGCACCGAUAUUUUGAGUUCUCAUUUUUAAUGGUAUUAGACACCUUGAAUAUGUUCCAGCUAGUAAGACUUUCACUUAUUCCUUCACUAAGUAUUAUUGACUACCUGCUCUGGGACAGUCCCUCGAUAGUACAUUCUGGAGAAACAGUGAUAAUGCCACCAGAACUCUUAUUCUCUGAUCAUUUCUCUUCUUGCCUUAAUUUUACUUGGACUUUUCAUUUAGACUUUCUCCACAUGGUAGAGAAGCUGCCUUCUGCAGCCCCUGAUUUACCCCCUUCAGCUUAGUUUCUAAAUGUGUCUUCAGAGAAACAAUGUGAUUUUUCAUCACUGUUGCCAAUAUUUAGGUUGAGUUUUGAUAUAGUAAUACUACUGUUAUUAAAGAUUAAAGAAUAUUUUCCAGUUCAUAGAGGACACUGCUUAGUCUUGGCAAAAUUUUCAAAUAGUCUGGGGUUCAUAUUGGUAGGAACACUUGGGCGGAUGAAAGACGUGGAUCAAGUAGACAACAACCAGCCAUGGACCCUGGAGAACAUCUGGGACAAUGUCAAUCUUGAUCCCUUCAGCUUCUUGGAAAAGUAGGGAGUGGAUGUGUGAUAGGACUGCUUCCUAGAGACUUUCAAGCAGCCAGAUGUUGAGUCUAGUAACUUCCUUCUCUCCCUUCACUUUUUUUGUUCUCUAAUGUUUCCCAUUGCCACAUCACCCUGCACCCUGAGACACAGUGGUCUGCCUGAUGGCCUGGGACAGGAAAGUAGACAGUGUCUUCCAGAGGUGCCUGCUGGUACCAUCACCACUCCAGUAGGUGGAGACCCUGCAGAGGAGGCUUGGGAGUGCCUUUCUGUCCUUAGGAUGUUAUAGUUUUCCACCAACUAGAUCUUUGUCAGUUGGGGAAGAGUUCUGGAGUCAGGAAUAUGCAUUCCCUAUCAGAUUGUCAUUUGAUGGUAUUGUUGAGUUAACCUACCUACUUUUGAAUAAAUGAUUUUUGACCCAUUGUUUUCAGCUGGAUAUGUUUCCCCUAAAUAAUUUUGGACCCAUUUCCCUUUGACUUUUCCAUUGUCUAAUUAUAUGAAAACAUAGAAAAAAUAUUAUCCAAGUCAUCAAUAAAAACAUUGCAUAAGACAAAGAUCUCUCUGUCCCCACUCCCACCCUCAUCUAGCUCCCAUCCAGUACUAUUACUCAGAACAUUCUUGCCAACUGGUAAAAAUAAAGCACUUACAGGAAAUCUAAAUUCUAGCCUAAUAGUUAUUACAACUGGAGGAUCUUGAAAAGAAAAUGAAGAAAAAAAUGAGCAUACCUGCUCUUUAUUUGGA